AGUGAACGCUGGCGGUAGGCCUAACACAUGCGAGUCGAACGGCAGCACAGUAAGAGCUUGCUCUUACGGGUGGCGAGUGGCGGACGGGUGCGGAAUACAUCGGAAUCUACUUUUUCGUGGGGGAUAACGUAGGGAAACUUACGCUAAUACCGCAUACGACCUACGGGUGAAAGCAGGGGAUCUUCGGACCUUGCGCGAUUGUAUGAGCCGAUGUCGGAUUAGCUAGUUGGCGGGGUAAAGGCCCACCAAGGCGACGAUCCGUAGCUGGUCUGAGAGGAUGAUCAGUCACACUGGAACUGAGACACGGUCCAGACUCCUACGGGAGGCAGCAGUGGGGAAUAUUGGACAAUGGGCGCAAGCCUGAUCCAGCCAUACCGCGUGGGUGAAGAAGGCCUUCGGGUUGUAAAGCCCUUUUGUUGGGAAAGAAAAGCAGCAGGUUAAUACCCCGCUGUUCUGACGGUACCCAAAGAAUAAGCACCGGCUAACUUCGUG
Molecule: ribosomal RNA, 492 nt
Filed under: uncultured bacterium
Lineage: Bacteria
Description: partial 16S ribosomal RNA
Rfam family: Bacterial small subunit ribosomal RNA
Source: RNAcentral